Molecule: ribosomal RNA, 485 nt
Filed under: uncultured bacterium
Lineage: Bacteria
Description: bacterial SSU rRNA
Rfam family: Bacterial small subunit ribosomal RNA
Source: RNAcentral
GCUGUGGAACUCCUACGGGAGGCAGCAGUGGGGAAUAUUGCACAAUGGGGGAAACCCUGCUGCGGCCAUGCCGCGUGUGUGAAGAAGGCCUUCGGGUUGUAAAGCACUUUCAGUAGGGAGGAAAGGGUGUAGUUUAAUACGCUAUAUCUGUGACGUUACCUACAGAAGGAGGACCGGCUAACUCCGUGCCAGCAGCCGCGGUAAUACGGAGGGUCCGAGCGUUAAUCGGAAUUACUGGGCGUAAAGCGUGCGCAGGCGGUUUGUUAAGCGAGAUGUGAAAGCCCUGGGCUCAACCUAGGAAUAGCAUUUCGAACUGGCGAACUAGAGUCUUGUAGAGGGGGGUAGAAUUCCAGGUGUAGCGGUGAAAUGCGUAGAGAUCUGGGGGAAUACCGGUUGCGAAGGCGGCCCCCUGGACAAAGACUGACGCUCAUGCACGAAAGCGUGGGGAGCAAACAGGAUUAGAUACCCUGGUAGUCCUACCACGU